Molecule: ribosomal RNA, 396 nt
Filed under: uncultured bacterium
Lineage: Bacteria
Description: bacterial SSU rRNA
Rfam family: Bacterial small subunit ribosomal RNA
Source: RNAcentral
GUGUCAGCCGCCGCGGUAAUACGUAGGGCGCAAGCGUUGUCCGGAAUUAUUGGGCGUAAAGAGCUCGUAGGCGGUCUGUUGCGUCGGAAGUGAAAUCCCGGGGCUUAACCCCGGGCUUGCUUUCGAUACGGGCAGACUAGAGUGUGGUAGGGGAGACUGGAAUUCCUGGUGUAGCGGUGAAAUGCGCAGAUAUCAGGAGGAACACCGGUGGCGAAGGCGGGUCUCUGGGCCACUACUGACGCUGAGGAGCGAAAGCGUGGGGAGCAAACAGGAUUAGAUACCCUGGUAGUCCACGCCGUAAACGUUGGGCGCUAGGUGUGGGGGUCCUUCCACGACCUCCGUGCCGCAGCUAACGCAUUAAGCGCCCCGCCUGGGGAGUACGGCCGCAAGGCUAAA